This 1513-nucleotide ribosomal RNA is filed under the name Desulfovibrio sp. ZIRB-2. RNAcentral's name for it is "16S ribosomal RNA". It matches the Rfam family "Bacterial small subunit ribosomal RNA". The record is from RNAcentral. Lineage: Bacteria; Pseudomonadati; Thermodesulfobacteriota; Desulfovibrionia; Desulfovibrionales; Desulfovibrionaceae.
UUUGAUCCUGGCUCAGAUUGAACGCUGGCGGCGUGCCUAACACAUGCAAGUCGAACGAAGUUUGGGAGCUUGCUCCCGGACUUAGUGGCGCACGGGUGAGUAACACGUGGAUGAUCUACCCAUCAGACCGGGAUAACAGUUGGAAACGACUGCUAAUACCAGAUACGAUCGUACAUUCGAAGUAAGGUGAAAGGAGGCCUCUGCAUAUGCUUUCGCUGAUGGAUGAGUCCGCGCCUCAUUAGGUAGUUGGUAGGGUAACGGCCUACCAAGCCAACGAUGAGUAGCCGACCUGAGAGGGUAAUCGGCCACACUGGGACUGGAACACGGCCCAGACUCCUACGGGAGGCAGCAGUGGGGAAUAUUGCGCAAUGGGCGAAAGCCUGACGCAGCGACGCCGCGUGAGGGAUGAAGGCCUUCGGGUCGUAAACCUCUGUCGGGAGGGAAGAACGGCACAAGUGCUAAUCAGCUUGUGUAUGACGGUACCUCCAAAGGAAGCACCGGCUAACUCCGUGCCAGCAGCCGCGGUAAUACGGAGGGUGCAAGCGUUAAUCGGAAUCACUGGGCGUAAAGCGCGCGUAGGCGGCAUUGUAAGUCAGAGGUGAAAGCCCACGGCCCACCCGUGGAACUGCCUUUGAUACUGCAUUGCUUGAGUGAGUGAGAGGAUAGUGGAAUUCCUGGUGUAGGAGUGAAAUCCGUAGAGAUCAGGAGGAACAUCAGUGGCGAAGGCGACUAUCUGGCACUAAACUGACGCUGAGGUGCGAAAGCGGGGGGAUCAAACCAGGAUUAGAUNCCCUGGUAGUCCACNCUGUAAACGAUGGAUACUAGGCGCUGGGAGCUCGACUCUCGGUGCCGUAGCUAACGCGUUAAGUAUCCCGCCUGGGGAGUACGGUCGCAAGGCUGAAACUCAAAGAAAUUGACGGGGGCCCGCACAAGCGGUGGAGUAUGUGGUUUAAUUCGAUGCAACGCGAAGAACCUUACCUAGGCUUGACAUCCAGGGAACCCUCCCGAAAAGGAGGGGUGCUCUUCGGAGAACCCUGAGACAGGUGCUGCAUGGCUGUCGUCAGCUCGUGCCGUGAGGUGUUGGGUUAAGUCCCGCAACGAGCGCAGCCCCUAUCGCCAGUUGCCACCGGGUAAAGCCGGGGCACUCAGGUGAGACUGCUGUGGUCAACACAGAGGAAGGUGGGGACGACGAUCAAGUCAUCAUGGCCCUUACGCCUAGGGCUACACACGUACUACAAUGGCGCGCACAAAGGGCAGCGAGACCGCGAGGUGGAGCCAAUCCCAAAAAACGCGUCCCAGUCCGGAUUGCAGUCUGCAACUCGACUGCAUGAAGUUGGAAUCGCUAGUAAUUCUGGAUCAGCAUGCCAGGGGUGAAUGCGUUCCCGGGCCUUGUACACACCGCCCGUCACACCACGAAAGUUGGUUUUACCCGACACCGGUGAGCUAACCCGCAAGGGAGGCAGCCGUCUACGGUAGGGCCUGAUGAUUGGGGUGAAGUCGUAACAAGGUAACC